This 657-nucleotide ribosomal RNA is filed under the name uncultured Enterobacteriaceae bacterium. RNAcentral's name for it is "bacterial SSU rRNA". It matches the Rfam family "Bacterial small subunit ribosomal RNA", at positions 845 to 1502 of the family's 1533-position model. Lineage: Bacteria; Pseudomonadati; Pseudomonadota; Gammaproteobacteria; Enterobacterales; Enterobacteriaceae. The record is from RNAcentral.
UCCGGAGCUAACGCGUUAAAUCGACCGCUGGGGAGUACGGCCGCAAGGUUAAAACUCAAAUGAAUUGACGGGGGCCCGCACAAGCGGUGGAGCAUGUGGUUUAAUUCGAUGCAACGCGAAGAACCUUACCUGGUCUUGACAUCCAUAGAAUCUUUCAGAGAUGAGAGAGUGCCUUCGGGAGCUAUGAGACAGGUGCUGCAUGGCUGUCGUCAGCUCGUGUUGUGAAAUGUUGGGUUAAGUCCCGCAACAAGCGCAACCCCUAUCCUUUGUUGCCAGCACGUAAUGGUGGGAACUCAAAGGAGACUGCCGUUGAUAAAGCGGAGGAAGGUGGGGACGACGUCAAGUCAUCAUGGCCCUUACGACCAGGGCUACACACGUGCUACAAUGGCGUAUACAAAGGGAUGCGAAGGUGCGAACUGGAGCGGACCUCACAAAGUACGUCUAAGUCCGGAUUGGAGUCUGCAACUCGACUCCAUGAAGUCGGAAUCGCUAGUAAUCGUGAAUCAGAAUGUCACGGUGAAUACGUUCCCGGGCCUUGUACACACCGCCCGUCACACCAUGGGAGUGGGUUGCACCAGAAGUAGAUAGCUUAACCUUCGGGAGGGCGUUUACCACGGUGUGGUUCAUGACUGGGGUGAAGUCGUAACAAGGUAACCA